UCACUGAUGCGUGAAGAACCUGUCUGAAAAAAUAAUACACUCUUAUUAACUUGAUCUUUUAAAACUUGGCAGCUGAAAGCGUAUCUUUAAGCACGGACAGUCUGACUUGCUGAGCCAGUUUUUUUUUCCCCCCCAGUAAUAGAGCUUAAAAGCUUCGGCAGUGAUCUGUUAUUCUUACAAGAGACAAUACAGCUCCCAACAGGCAGAGAACAGAGGGAAUUAAUGGAUUGGAAAGUCAGAUUCUAACACAUGAGCUCUCAAAAGUCUCUCUAGACCAGCAAACCGAUUGUGCAUAUCCAGCAUCAAAUCCUACAGUUAUUCUGUCUCCAUUAAAAUGAAAGCAUUUGCCAACCUGCUGUCAAUUCCCCAAAAGAACAAACUAGACCAAAGUCAGUUUGACACGAAGGAGGACUUUAGCAGGGGGACUGAACAAGUUCAAUGAGCAAGAGGCCUGAAAGAAAAAAGUUGAGCUCUGCACAUUAAUUUUAAGUCCCAGCAAUGAAAUUUCUCACGUAGCAUCAAUAAAGAAAAAAAUAAACCUGC
Pantherophis guttatus is the source of this 543-nucleotide long non-coding RNA. RefSeq lists it as uncharacterized. The record is from RefSeq and is a predicted model, not a curated record. Lineage: Eukaryota; Metazoa; Chordata; Lepidosauria; Squamata; Colubridae.